Molecule: non-coding RNA, 46 nt
Filed under: Pelobates cultripes (western spadefoot toad)
Lineage: Eukaryota; Metazoa; Chordata; Amphibia; Anura; Pelobatidae
Rfam family: Histone 3' UTR stem-loop
About the family: The mRNAs of metazoan histone genes lack a poly-A tail. 3' end processing occurs at a site between a highly conserved stem-loop (modelled by this family) and a purine rich region around 20 nts downstream (the histone downstream element, or HDE).
Source: RNAcentral
ACAAAGGCUCUUUUAAGAGCCACCCACACGAUCCACGAGAGAGCUG